UAACCUGGAACCUUGGGAAGAAG
Molecule: microRNA, 23 nt
Filed under: Marchantia polymorpha subsp. ruderalis
Lineage: Eukaryota; Viridiplantae; Streptophyta; Marchantiopsida; Marchantiales; Marchantiaceae
Source: RNAcentral